Amphilophus citrinellus (Midas cichlid) is the source of this 28-nucleotide ribosomal RNA. The record is from Ensembl. NCBI's taxonomy places the organism in Eukaryota, Metazoa, Chordata, Actinopteri, Cichliformes, Cichlidae.
GUACUUGGAUGGGAGACCGCCUGGGAAU